UGUCUCAGCCCAAGGCCUCAAUUUGAGCCAUCAAGGCUCCAAUAGCAUCAUUUCCCAAAGAUUGGGAAGUAGUACCCCCGGAUUCCAUGGAAAAAUGUACCUACAAAGUGCAAAAAAACAGCAAGCAAAACAACCUACAAAACAAACAAAUGAGUUAGUUCAAAAGCCUCACUUCACUCACACUCAACCUCACCUCACACUUGGUUUCACAAGUGUUAGAGAAUCGGCAAUACUUGGCAAGUUACUUGAGAGGUGAGAAGCUUUGGAUCGGAA
Molecule: long non-coding RNA, 273 nt
Filed under: Capsicum annuum
Lineage: Eukaryota; Viridiplantae; Streptophyta; Magnoliopsida; Solanales; Solanaceae
Description: long non-coding RNA (CANN_LNC017010)
Source: RNAcentral